This is a long non-coding RNA of Anolis carolinensis (green anole), 409 nucleotides long. RefSeq lists it as uncharacterized. NCBI's taxonomy places the organism in Eukaryota, Metazoa, Chordata, Lepidosauria, Squamata, Anolidae. The record is from RefSeq and is a predicted model, not a curated record. The transcript is spliced from 2 exons.
GGGAUGGGGAGGGAAGCUCAGCGCCACAUCCAAAUUACUGAAAGCUUUCUCAGGACAGGAGAAAAAGCUGUCAGAUUAACAGCUGAAUACAGAACAUUCGACCAUCAUAUAUCCUUCUCAUUCAAGUAACAUGAAACCCUGGAAAGGGAGGAAGCGAUGGAGGGCUCGGGCUGUGGCGCAGGCUGGAGAGCAAGCCAGUUGCAACCAGCUGCAAUGAAUCACUCUAACCAGGAGGUCAUGAGUUCGAGGCCUGCUCGGAGCCUAUGUUUGUCUUGUCUUUGUUCUAUGUUAAAAGGCAUUGAAUGUUUGCCUAUAUGUGUAAUGUGAAUCCGCCCUGAGUCCCCUUCAGGGUGAGAAGGGCGGAAUAUAAAUGCUGUAAAUAAAUAAUAAAUAAUGGAGUCAAUAAAAA